GUAAGUUGUUGAUUGUGUUUCUUCCCAUAUUCAAAAUGAGGAAAACCGAUCAAUAAGCUUACAG
This 64-nucleotide microRNA precursor is filed under the name Caenorhabditis briggsae. RNAcentral describes it as "microRNA cbr-mir-7588 precursor". The record is from miRBase by way of RNAcentral. Lineage: Eukaryota; Metazoa; Nematoda; Chromadorea; Rhabditida; Rhabditidae.